UUGAAUUUAUUUUAAAAUUUUACUAUAAAUCUCCUUGUUUGUUGAGCAAUUCACUUUACAUAUACUCAAUGUUUUGUCAUCAUCAAAAAGGGGGAGAUUGUGGAGUGAUUGAUUAUAACCCUAUCUGAUUUUGAUGAGCUCAAAGCAUUUGAGUAUAUCCUAUGUUUACUAAUGAAUUCAAUCUAGUGUUUUAGUGAAAUUCUUGUAAAUUUAUGGUUAAGUGUCUCUAGAUUUGGUUCAAGACAUUUUGGAUAAGUUAAGAAAUCAAUAUGAACCAAA
Molecule: long non-coding RNA, 279 nt
Filed under: Phoenix dactylifera (date palm)
Lineage: Eukaryota; Viridiplantae; Streptophyta; Magnoliopsida; Arecales; Arecaceae
Description: long non-coding RNA (PDAC_LNC022334)
Source: RNAcentral